This is a ribosomal RNA of Erinaceus europaeus (western European hedgehog), 120 nucleotides long. NCBI's taxonomy places the organism in Eukaryota, Metazoa, Chordata, Mammalia, Eulipotyphla, Erinaceidae. The record is from Ensembl.
GUCUACGGCCAUACCGCCCUGAACACACCUGAUCAAGUCCAAUCUCGGAAGCUAAGCAGGGUCUGGCCUGAUUAGCACUUGCAUGGGAGGGGAAGGGAGAAAGAUAGACACCUGCAGGCC